Molecule: non-coding RNA, 1804 nt
Organism: Musa acuminata subsp. malaccensis (wild Malaysian banana)
Lineage: Eukaryota; Viridiplantae; Streptophyta; Magnoliopsida; Zingiberales; Musaceae
Source: RefSeq, a predicted model, not a curated record
UUAGGGUGCCGCUGCGGCCGCUCUCUUUUGUCCCAUAAUGGCGGCUGCGAGGCUCCGCACCGGGCUCCGCCGCAAGAGCCUUCUGCCCUUGUUCGAAACCUGCCGCCUUCGAGAUAUCCUCUUCUUCUCCUCCUCUGUCAACGCUGCCGCCGCCGUAGGCGGCACCAUAUCACCAGAUCCCCACUUCAUGGUGGAAUACCUCGUCAACUCCUGCGGGUUCUCCUCCUCCGAGGCAGCCAAGUUCUCUAAACCCCUUGUGCACCUCCGAUCCACCAAGAACCCCGACGCCGUCCUUAACUUCAUGAGAUCUCAGGGCUUCGAUGGCGCCGGUAUCAGGAAGCUGAUAUCUGGGGAUCCCAGAUACUUAUGCUACAACGUGGAGAAGAACCUCGCCCCGAAGUUUCAGUUCUUACGCGAUUUGGGCCUAUCGGAGUCGGACGUCGUCGAUGUCAUCCGGAAUAACGAGGAAAUCCUCUGCCGCAACGUUCACCGUUUCCUCGUCCCCAAAUUGGAGAUAUGGGAAAGUCUCAUGGGAUCGAGAGAGCUCGUUCUCAAGCAUCUCAAGAAGUCACGCAGGUUUUUCUUCUCCAGCGCUGAGAAGACAUUGUAUCCUAACCUAAAGUUCUUGAGGGAUGAGUGCGGCAUUCCUGAAGAAAGGGUCUCUGUCGUCUUGAGAAGUUGCCCACAAUUAAUCUCACUGAAACCAGAGUCUCUCCGAGCUUUGGUGGUGAGAGCCGAUGAGCUGGGGAUGCCACGGCAAUCUCGGAUGUUCAUGUGGACCCUUUAUGUUUUCCACAACGUAAGCAAAGAAAGGUUCGAGGCCAAGGUUGAGCUCAUGAGGAGCUUCGGGUGGUCGGAGUCGGAGUUUUCUUCUGCAGUCAGGAAAAAUCCCAACUUCUUAUCCAUGUCCCUCGAUAUGUUGCGCAGAAAAGUGGUAUUUUUUAUCAAUAUAGUCGGGUACACCCCUUCCUUCAUCGCCUCCCAACCAACUAUCUUGCUAUAUAGUCUGCAGAAGAGGGUCAUUCCUCGGUUUCAUGUGACGGAGAUGUUGAAAUCGAAAGGAUUGUGGACUGGACAAUGCAAGUUUACAUCGAUUAUCGUAUUCUCAGAUACCAAAUUCAUGGAGACGUUUGUUCUCCCUCACAAAGAAAAUGUUCCUGAGCUGCUUGAUAUUUUGAGAGCUGCUGGCACCUGUAAAGGUAAUGAUACCUUUCAUUUGGCAUCGGAGGAUGAGAAAGGGCUUAGCUGAUGGUCUGAUUUGCCAACGACGAAGGGACUUUUGGAUUUUGUCCAAAUUAAUUCCAAUUCCCGAAGUGUUUUUGGCUGUUGGUAUGCAGUGGCUUCAAUGGAAUUUGAAAGACCAGUUGCACUGGGUUGAUCAGGAGUCACCAGCUCUUCUGAAAUGUCUUCAACCUCCUUUGGAAUUGCUAAAGCUUUUCUCGCAUCAACAAACUCUUGCAUGCCUCCAUAGGCUUCUGCUCGUCCACCCUUUGUGAUUCCAGCAACAGAUCUCUUCAUUCUUGGAGUUCAUUCUUGGAUUCGGUGGAUGCAACUUCUCAUCAUCAUAGCUGAAGCUUCUGCUCUACUUGAAAGCCUUCUGAAGGCUGCACAACUACAUUUCUCCAACAUCUGAAUCGAACUAAUUCCCUUGAGUUAGUCGAUUUGCUGGUUCCUUAAGAAUAUUUUGGAUGCCAUUUUAUUUGUUUGUUCAAGUAUUUAUGUUGUCGAUGUGGUCCAUGUUUCCCGCAUCAUGAACGGCGUGGCCCAUUGGCUAGUCAAUCUCGGAAGGACUGUAAAUUCUCUA